This 433-nucleotide long non-coding RNA is filed under the name Solanum tuberosum (potato). RNAcentral describes it as "long non-coding RNA (STUB_LNC004600)". Lineage: Eukaryota; Viridiplantae; Streptophyta; Magnoliopsida; Solanales; Solanaceae. The record is from RNAcentral.
AUCAGCCAUCUGUCGGAGUCUUCUCUAUCGGAGUUGCUUAUUUUAUUUCUCUAACUCGUUUAAUGUAGCUAUGAUUUAAUUUUCUCCCAUGGACCAAAAAUUUUCAUCAAUUUUCAUCUAAAUUUCUCUCAAUUCAAUCUUCGAAAAUCCCCAAUUUUUUUCAAUAAUCGCCUAAUUACCCUUCAAAAUCUUCAUUUCUACAUCAUUUCAUGCUUUUUCUCUCGAGAUUGAUGAAAUUCCACUCAAAAUCAUUAUCAAUUCAAUGCUCCAAAAAGUUGGUCAAUUUUGUGGAUUAAAUUUUUCGAUGCAGUUAGUUUAGUUUAGUUGGGUAGAAAUAUUUAAAAUGAAGAUUUUGUAAGAUUUUUGUACUAUUCGAUGUUUAUUGUAGAUUCGAUAGCCAAAGCUUUAUCAGAUCUGAAAAAGGAAGGUAGAU